Long non-coding RNA from Danio aesculapii, 329 nucleotides. RefSeq lists it as uncharacterized. The record is from RefSeq and is a predicted model, not a curated record. Lineage: Eukaryota; Metazoa; Chordata; Actinopteri; Cypriniformes; Danionidae. The transcript is spliced from 3 exons.
AGUGCUCGGUGCUGGUGGUGCAUCGGGAAGUGGUGCUGACGGUAGCAAAACUCUCUUCAAAGAGUCCACCAGCUCUUGAAUGGGAUCGGGAGUGCUCAUGCUGUUAACUGUAAAUGGUCCGGUCUUCUGUUAGGGAAGCAGACGGACAAACAGGGAUGGAUGAUAGGCAAAGAGGAAGACCGAAUGCACACACCAGAUGACUUGCGGGGAAGACAGACAGAUGACACACACACCUUUGACUGGACGCUGGGAACACUGGACAGACUGGAGACAAACAGAGAUUAGAGGUUUCCAUAAUCCUGGACCAGGCCAUAUCCUGAGCAGCUGCU